Haplochromis burtoni (Burton's mouthbrooder) is the source of this 986-nucleotide long non-coding RNA. RefSeq lists it as uncharacterized. The transcript has 3 exons. The record is from RefSeq and is a predicted model, not a curated record. NCBI's taxonomy places the organism in Eukaryota, Metazoa, Chordata, Actinopteri, Cichliformes, Cichlidae.
AGUUGAAACAACUUAAAACUUUUCUGUUCUCUUAACGAUUCAAACAGUUAUAAUUGUACAUGGCUUAGAAGUUAAGAGUAAAUACUGCUUUCUUAAUUAUGAUUUUUGAGUAAAUGUUUUUUUUCCGAGCUCCGCAUGUGUACGUCAUGACGUCAUGACGUUUUCUCUCUAACCUGAACGACGUUGACAGAAAAUUCUGUUCAAUAUGGCUGCCCUUCUCGAGCGACUGGAGAGCACAUUUGGAGAAACUUGCUGAAGACCGAAGAAAAAAACUUCAGACUGCAAGUAAUUUCAGGUGGAGACAGUAAACACAGAUCUACCAAGGGUCGGUGGCACAGUUCAACUUUUGUGGUAAGUUAUAACACUUCAUAUUUAGUCACAUAAGUAAGUUGUUUCUUCAGUUGUUGAGUUCUUAUAAAAUAAUUUUGUAUAAUUGUACAAAAUUACUGAGGAUACAUCGAAUGUGUAAAUCCCAAUCAACAAUUUUACUGUGAUAUUCGCUCAUGUUUAGAGAAUCUCCAUUAUAUUGAUUACUGAGUUUCCAUUUUUUGUAGGGCCAAAUUUGUAUUAAAAAUUAAUAUUUUCAUGUGAUGUGAAAAUACUCAAUCAUUUUUAAUUUUUAAAAGAAACCAUUCAUUAAGUACCUUAAAGUGCAGAUUUCAGUAGUUGCUGAAAUGCAUAUAAAAUGUCCCCCAAAAAACGUCUUGAUACGUUGAUUGGGGUAUUUCAAAAUUAAAAAUGUUUAGAAACCCAAAUUUUGACUGAAAGUUUCAUAAUCUGGACGUGUGAUGUAACUGAAGGGAGUUGUAUGUUAUGCCCUGUUGGCAGUAAGUGGUGUUUGUGAGCGUAUAUAAUUAUGAUUCGGGUAUGUUUAAAGCUGACCUUUACAGUUAACUCCUGGCUAAAAAGAUGUCCAAAGCUGUGAUGUCAUAGCUGGACACCAUGGUCAUUUUAGUCUUGGCUGAACAUUCACUGUGUUCUGCAAU